RNAcentral lists this long non-coding RNA (799 nucleotides) under Homo sapiens (human). RNAcentral describes it as "LNC_000978". Lineage: Eukaryota; Metazoa; Chordata; Mammalia; Primates; Hominidae. The record is from RNAcentral.
CUGAGACAUCUGCGAUCCUGAGCUGCUCCGGUGGGCACCUGCCAGAAGACAGGAGCCCAGGCUGCAGGAGUCGCUGGUGGAGGAGGGGUGAGGCGGCGCCCCUGCCUCUGUGGUUCUGCAUGGGGCAGGGCCCCUGCUGCUCCGGGCGGGGAAAGAAGGUAGGAGGCCCUUGCUCCCAUGACUCACUCCAGGCUCUACACACGUUGGAGUUUUCUGUUUCUUUCUGAGCUUCUAAUGCAGGAAUCACAAGCUCAGAUCCCUCACAGAUGCUAUGUUUUGCUUCGGCGUGCAUCCUAGGUGGGAUUCUUAGACAUGGGAAACACACAGCAACAUCUGGCCCUUCCACAAAGAAGUACGUAUGCUCCCCCAGCACCCUUUGUUUUUUGAGAUAGAGCCUGGACAGCACAGUGAGACCCUGUCCCCCUCUUCCGCAAAAAAACAAAAAGGAAGAGCGAUUAUGAGGUUCCUGAGGCCAUCUAGACAGGAGGUGGCGGGGACUUAGAGUGGCAGCUGAAGUUGGGGCAAAAGAGGUUGGACACUUUAUCAAUAUACUUUGAGGUUUGAGUCAAAAGCCCUUUGGCUGGGCUGUUAGAGGGUAUGGGGUAUCUUUAUGGGGUAAUGAAAAGAUUCUAAAAUUAAUGGUGACAGUUGCACAAUUCUGUGAAUAUCCUAAGAACAAUUGAAUCGUAUGGUAUAUGAGUUAUGUCUCAACAAUGUUAACAGAAAUGAGGAUUUGCAGAUGGAUUUGGUGUUGGGGUCUGAGAAGGAGAGGAGGCAAGGAAGACCAGCCUGGGCAGCU